RNAcentral lists this ribosomal RNA (253 nucleotides) under uncultured bacterium. RNAcentral's name for it is "partial 16S ribosomal RNA". It matches the Rfam family "Bacterial small subunit ribosomal RNA", at positions 524 to 776 of the family's 1533-position model. The record is from RNAcentral.
UACAGAGGUCCCAAGCGUUGUUCGGAUUCACUGGGCGUAAAGGGUGCGUAGGCGGUCAGGUAAGUCUGAAGUGAAAGCUCCAUGCUCAACUUGGAAAAUGCUUCGGAUACUAUCUGACUAGAGAGCCGGAGAGGAGGCUGGAAUUCUCGGUGUAGCAGUGAAAUGCGUAGAUAUCGAGAGGAACACCAGUGGCGAAAGCGAGUCUCUGGACGGCAUCUGACGCUGAGGCACGAAAGCCAAGGUAGCAAACGGG